UACGUAGGGGACGAGCGUUGUCCGGAAUUACUGGGCGUAAAGGGCGCGCAGGCUGUAGAUCAAGUCAGCUGUGAAAUGUCUGGGCUUAACCCGGGCAUGCGGUUGAAACUGAUGUACUGGAGUGCUGUAGAGGCAAGUGGAAUUCCUAGUGUAGCGGUGAAAUGCGUAGAUAUUAGGAGGAACACCGGUGGCGAAGGCGGCUUACUGGACUGUAACUGACGCUGAGUCACGAAAGCGUGGGUAGCAAACAGGAUUAGAUA
RNAcentral lists this ribosomal RNA (260 nucleotides) under uncultured prokaryote. Its description in RNAcentral is "partial 16S ribosomal RNA". It matches the Rfam family "Bacterial small subunit ribosomal RNA", at positions 524 to 784 of the family's 1533-position model. The record is from RNAcentral.